Coffea arabica (coffee) is the source of this 2333-nucleotide long non-coding RNA. RefSeq lists it as uncharacterized. The record is from RefSeq and is a predicted model, not a curated record. NCBI's taxonomy places the organism in Eukaryota, Viridiplantae, Streptophyta, Magnoliopsida, Gentianales, Rubiaceae.
UCUGUUUCUUUCUUCCUUCUUCCCUGUUUCUCUUCUCCUGGCCAAAACCUACAAAACUUCACGCCGUCGCCUCCUCCUUUUAUACCAACGCCACCGCGCGCCACCCACGGUCUCCCUCUUCUCCAUCCUCGUACGACCUUUGCUACCAGUCCACGGCUGCCUACUGAUCGCGCCACUCCCUUGCCGCACGACUCACACAGCCACUGCAACGAGUCCAAGCCGACGCCGCCUUCUUUUUCCUCUCUCCUUGCAGCUGACUGCCGUUGCUGCUCGCACCUCGCGACUCUUUCUAUCUCCCUCGCGUGCCAACCGCCAACCGCCACAGCUGCAGCUCUCUCUUCUCCGCUUGUCGACAGCCACCGCAGUAACGUGACCACCGGCAGCCACGCCACCCGUCAGUUCUCCAUUCGAACACCGGUGGAGUGGUACUAGUGCGAGUAUUUGUUACCUCUAUUUGGUUAGAGAUCUGAUUGACUGCCAAGAGCUUGUGAUUGCGUUGCUAUUACUAAAUUCCUCAACUACUAUUGCUGGAAUUGCCGAUUUUGAGUUGAGAUAUUCACUGUCCAAUUGGAGACUUUGUUGAGAUUUGGGUGGACAGAGUUUUGCAUUUGCUGGUUGAAUUGAGUUGAGAUGUUUCAGAACUUGGCCGCGUACUUCUAUCACAUCGGUUUCACUCCACCGUUCCCUCCUAUCCCUUAGCCAUUUGACAGGGAAGUUUCGUUGUCCUCUUCACUUUACUUGCUUUCUACUCUCCAUUGGGGAUAAUGUCGGAUUUAGGUGUGGAGGGGAUUGGACAGCUGUGAUGCUAGUAUUUCAAGUUUUUAGUUUUUAAAUGUUUUUUCUUUAUUUUUAGUUUGUUAUUUGUCUAUCUUUCGUUUAUUUUCUUUCUUUUAGUGAUCAGCUCUAAUGUGAAUACCAAGGUUUGAUGUUGGAUUAUUGACUCUAAUUCUGCUAUUGCCAAGUUUUAAUAAUAAAAGUGUAUCUAACUAAUGUGGUUGAAUCGAAGGACAUCUCUUUGGUGAAUAUCGAUGAUUGUUGGGCUCUUCUAAUUUUUGGUUAACUUUUUUAGGCAUUGAGAAUGAUUGUUGGCAUUUUCAUGUGAAUUGGUCCAGUUAUUAACUUUAGUUCUCCAUGUUUGAAAAAUGAGGCUAGCUGCUACUAUUUUCUUUGUGAUAUUUUGAGUUAUUGUGUUAUCUGGUUGUACAUAAGAGAUGACUGUACUCCGCUAGUUGUUACUACUGAAUAACCAGGGAUUUUCACCAAAAGUGUCGAUUCUCGCGUCAAAAAGUAGUAAUUUCUAUGAGUACGUAGUCGUAUAGUGAUAUGAACUGAGUAACCAGGCUCCUUCAUCUGGCAAAUGUUGGAGUUCGCGUCAAAAGACUCCAAUGGCUAGAAACUAAAUCUUUUGUGCUAUUGAAGAAAAAAAAGAAAAUGUGAAAAAAAAGUGAAAGUUGUGUUAGUGUGUGAUAUAACUCAGCUCGUCAAAUUAUGGAUUUAAUGUUGCGAUUUUGGUUAAUGGUUGGACCAUUUGAUGAUAAAUGCUGUGCGCUAUUCCUUUUUCUUAGAUUAGUUAACCUAGAAUUGAAGGAAUUUGUGGUUUAGAAGCUAACCGGAGUGAUGUUUCUUGGAUUUUGAUCACUGAUACUUGGUCUAUGUUUUUCUUGGUAUCUUGGCAAUAUAGUAGAUAGAGCAAUAGCCAUUGUCAAAUAUUGGUGUUUGUUUGCUGUUCUUAUGCUUGAGAACAAGCAUGGUUUAGGUGUGGGGGGAAUUAAUAGGAUGCAAUUUUAUCAUUUAUUUUAUUAUUAAUUUUUCCUAUUACCUGACCCGAUGUAGAUUAAUUGUUAGAUUCUACUCACUUUUAAUAUUUUGCAUUUAUUUUAGGGAGUAGAAUGAAAAUAUGAUAACAAGUGCCAAUUUGACAUAAAAGGAGUCCAAGGGGCAAUUUUGGAAAAGGAAAAAAUUUUUGCCCUUUCUUUUGGCAACGGCAGAACUGAGGACGAGGUGUGUUCCUUUCCCUUGGGAGUCACCGCAAGGAAGAAAAAUAGACUUAGACAGUAGCAUUAGAUAGGAAAUAGAGGAAACAAUGGCGGAUGACUUUUUAGCUUAGCUUUUUUUGACUUUUCCUUGUGGGCUCAAGUAGCUUUUCCUUCUCCGUAUGUCAAGACAAGUAUUAUUCAAUUAGUCAAUUAGUCAUUCUCGGAAAACUGGCUAUUCUUCCUUUUGUUCGAACGAAGCGAACUCCCUCGAUCAAGGAUAAUGGCUGCAGCUUUCUCUACACUUUUGCGUGGGUUUUUCGCAUCAAAUAUGAACUAAUUUCCUUACUCUUCAAGGAA